This 632-nucleotide ribosomal RNA is filed under the name uncultured bacterium. Its description in RNAcentral is "bacterial SSU rRNA". It matches the Rfam family "Bacterial small subunit ribosomal RNA", at positions 59 to 665 of the family's 1533-position model. The record is from RNAcentral.
AAGUCGUGCGAGAAAGCUUCCUUCGGGAAGCAAGUAAAGCGGCGCACGGGUGAGUAACACGUGGGCAACCUGCCCUCGAGUCUGGGAUAACCCGGGGAAACCCGAGCUAAUACCGGAUACGGCCCGAGAGUCUUCGGACUUUCGGGAGAAAGGUGGCCUCUUCAUGAAAGCUACCGCUCGUGGAUGGGCCUGCGUCCCAUUAGCUAGUUGGUGAGGUAACGGCUCACCAAGGCAAAGAUGGGUAGCUGAUCUGAGAGGAUGAUCAGCCACACUGGAACUGAGACACGGUCCAGACUCCUACGGGAGGCAGCAGUGGGGAAUUUUGGGCAAUGGGCGAAAGCCUGACCCAGCAACGCCGCGUGCAGGAUGAAGGCCUUCGGGUCGUAAACUGCUGUCAGAGGGGAAGAACAGCUUCGUGGCCAAUACCCACGGAGCCUGACGGUACCCUCAAAGGAAGCGCCGGCUAACUCCGUGCCAGCAGCCGCGGUAAUACGGAGGGCGCAAGCGUUGUUCGGAAUUACUGGGCGUAAAGCGCGUGUAGGCGGUUCGGUAAGUCGGGUGUGAAAUCCCGGAGCUCAACUCCGGAACUGCAUUCGAAACUGCCGGGCUAGAGUCCCGGAGAGGAGGGCAGA